UUGACGGGACCGCACAAGCAGCGGAGCGUUGUGGUUUAAUUCGUUGCUACACGAAGAACCUUACCUGGGUUUGACAUAUAGGUUGUAGGGAACUGAAAAGGACGACCUUCGGGAGCCUAUACAGGUGUUGCAUGGCUGUCGUCAGCUCGUGUCGUGAGAUGUUCGGUUAAGUCCGCUAACGAGCGCAACCCUCGUCGUAUGUUAUAUGUGUCAUACGAGACUGCCGGUAAAAAGCCGGAGGAAGGUGAGGAUGAUGUCAAGUCAGCAUGGCCUUUAUGUCCUGGGCUACACACACGCUACAAUGGCCAACACAAUAGGUUGCUAAGCCGCGAGGUGGAGCCAAUCCUCAAAGUUGGUCUCAGUUCAGAUUGCAGGCUGCAACCCGCCUGCAUGAAGAUGGAGUUGCUAGUAACCGCAGGUCAGCUAUACUGCGGUGAAUACGUUCCCGGGGCUU
RNAcentral lists this ribosomal RNA (454 nucleotides) under uncultured Leptolinea sp. RNAcentral describes it as "bacterial SSU rRNA". It matches the Rfam family "Bacterial small subunit ribosomal RNA", at positions 910 to 1382 of the family's 1533-position model. The record is from RNAcentral. Lineage: Bacteria; Bacillati; Chloroflexota; Anaerolineae; Anaerolineales; Anaerolineaceae.